UUGCCCUGGGAACAGGAGAAAACCCGUUGAACUUUAGCAAUCAGGCGG
Molecule: ribosomal RNA, 48 nt
Filed under: Pestalotiopsis heterocornis
Lineage: Eukaryota; Fungi; Ascomycota; Sordariomycetes; Amphisphaeriales; Sporocadaceae
Description: partial 28S ribosomal RNA
Source: RNAcentral